This 319-nucleotide long non-coding RNA is filed under the name Monodelphis domestica (gray short-tailed opossum). RNAcentral describes it as "lncRNA (ENSMODG00000046543.1)". Lineage: Eukaryota; Metazoa; Chordata; Mammalia; Didelphimorphia; Didelphidae. The record is from RNAcentral.
CUGAAAAACCCAGUGGCAGAUGAAGGAGGAGAACAGAGAUACAUACAAGUCAUUCUUCAAACAAUGUUUCUGUUGCUGUAUAUAAUGUUCUCUUUGUUCUGCUCGUUUCACUUCAUAAUUUCAGGUUUUAGUGGCAUAAAGAGUCAUGAACACCUAUCAAAGAAGAAGCCAAUUUUCUCCCUGUAAAUCUGCCCAGAACAAAUAUAAUGGGUUAGAGUCUCAAGAAUCAAGAAUACCAAACCAACCCAAUUAGUAUUUAUGAGGUGCCUAGGAAUUCAAAGGACAACUAGGAAUUCAAAUAAAUUCAAAUAAAAUUCCA